UACAGAGGGGGCAAGCGUUGUUCGGAAUUACUGGGCGUAAAGGGCGCGUAGGCGGCCUGUUAAGUCGAACGUGAAAUCCCCGGGCUCAACUCGGGAACUGCGUCCGAUACUGGCGGGCUUGAAUCCGGGAGAGGGAUGCGGAAUUCCAGGUGUAGCGGUGAAAUGCGUAGAUAUCUGGAGGAACACCGGUGGCGAAGGCGGCAUCCUGGACCGGCAUUGACGCUGAGGCGCGAAAGCUAGGGGAGCAAACGGG
Molecule: ribosomal RNA, 253 nt
Filed under: uncultured bacterium
Lineage: Bacteria
Description: partial 16S ribosomal RNA
Rfam family: Bacterial small subunit ribosomal RNA
Source: RNAcentral